RNAcentral lists this ribosomal RNA (254 nucleotides) under uncultured prokaryote. RNAcentral describes it as "partial 16S ribosomal RNA". It matches the Rfam family "Bacterial small subunit ribosomal RNA", at positions 525 to 777 of the family's 1533-position model. The record is from RNAcentral.
ACGGAGGAUCCAAGCGUUAUCCGGAAUUACUGGGCGUAAAGAGUUGCGUAGGUGGCAUAGUAAGUAGGUAGUGAAAGCCUGGGGCUCAACCCUUUAAACAUUAUCUAAACUGCUAAGCUAGAGGGCGAGAGAGGUAACUAGAAUUCCUUGUGUAGGAGUGAAAUCCGUAGAUAUAAGGAGGAAUACCGAUGGCGUAGGCAGGUUACUGGCUCGUCCCUGACACUAAGGCACGAAAGCGUGGGGAGCAAACGGGA